RNAcentral lists this ribosomal RNA (468 nucleotides) under uncultured bacterium. Its description in RNAcentral is "partial 16S ribosomal RNA". It matches the Rfam family "Bacterial small subunit ribosomal RNA", at positions 28 to 507 of the family's 1533-position model. The record is from RNAcentral.
GACGAACGCUGGCGGCGUGCUUAACACAUGCAAGUCGAACGGAAAGGCCCUGCUUUUGUGGGGUGCUCGAGUGGCGAACGGGUGAGUAACACGUGAGCAACCUGCCCUUGACUUUGGGAUAACUUCAGGAAACUGGGGCUAAUACCGGAUAGGAGCUCCUGCUGCAUGGUGGGGGUUGGAAAGUUUCGGCGGUUGGGGAUGGACUCGCGGCUUAUCAGCUUGUUGGUGGGGUAGUGGCUUACCAAGGCUUUGACGGGUAGCCGGCCUGAGAGGGUGACCGGCCACAUUGGGACUGCGAUACGGCCCAGACUCCUACGGGAGGCAGCAGUGGGGAAUAUUGCACAAUGGGCGGAAGCCUGAUGCAGCAACGCCGCGUGCGGGAUGACGGCCUUCGGGUUGUAAACCGCUUUCGCCUGUGACGAAGCGUGAGUGACGGUAAUGGGUAAAGAAGCACCGGCUAACUACGUG